GUUUCUAUUUUCUCUCGACAGAUACAAUCCAAUGCUGACUAAUCAGACGGAAAGGACAGCAUGUAUGAAGACCAAAGUAAUGACAUCACCUGACAUCUGACACAUCAACUGGCUUUUUUAUUACGUUCAGUCCUCAUAAUAUACCUGGAUUGGUUUGACACACAGAGACCAUUGUUGGCAUGCACAAGACAAAUGUGAAUGAGCCACAGGAAAAAAAAGAAACAAAGGUUGAGGGCAAGAACAUCUGAAAAAAAAAAAAAAAAGACAGCAGCUGAGUGGCAGCAGAACAAAAGGAGUGGAAAGAGUAACAGAGACGAUGGGUCGGAAGAAUGCGAACUGGAGGGGUGUGGGGCAGAGAGCUGUCAAAGGUUAGCCUCGUCCUCCAUCCUUCACGAUGCCUUUUGCUUGUCACGCACCAUUCUCUUCGCAUACCCGCUCAACGCCAAAGAGACUUCUGGAGACAAUCCAGGAUAAAUGGUGUCCACCGCUCUGUCCAGACCACAAGUGAAGCCACCGCUGGCUAAUUUAAUAUAGAUACAGGAUUUAGGGUAAAGGCAGUUAUUGUACAAUUUAGUCCAAGUGGGACAUCACCGUUUGGUAAAAUAUAAAACAGUCAAGCGUAAUGUGUAACUAUGAUGGUCACAGACACAUUUCCAGAUUUAAAAAAAAAAAAGAAACAAAAGCACAGAAUAAAAGAUUCCCGUAAACUAGACCGUGCCUUGUUUUUGACCUUGCCUUUUUGCAUCAUGAUUUUGCUACGGUCGCCUUUUUGGACUGCCUGCUUGUUUACCGACCUCAGAUUGAUUAGAUCUUCUAAAAUUGUGUCUUCUCUCUACAGUUGUGCAUUUUGGGUCCGAUUCCGUGUUCUCUUCAUGACAUGUCAAAACAUUGGGGCAAAGAUUCCGUGGGAACAAAGCCUUCUCACAAUCAUAUUUGAUUAAUUCUUGAUCAAUUUGUGUCUACCAAAAAAAUUCGGAUAUACAAUACAUUUUUAAUAGGUCAACGAGACCUUAAGUUACACAAAGAAAUUUUACAAAGAACAUAAAAUAAAAGCACAAAUCUUAAAUGGCUGCCCUAUUCCAACUCAAACCGAAUGCAAUAAACAAUAAGGUCUCCCCCCAAAAAAAUCAUUGGAAACCCCCCACUGACCCUUGAGGACUUGGACCCUGCCAAAACUAAGACAAGAGAAGGAAAAAUCCUGUUGAAUCCUCCACAUCUUGAUCAUCCCCUCUUCCAGAUCUUUACUUCAAGAAUGCAAAUUAAAACAAGCAGACAUUCCAACCACUUCUUUCCCUUUGCCAUGAACUGCCUAAAGAAUUCAUUUACAAUUCCAUUGUAACAUGCUGCCAAUUUUGGCUCGAGAUUGUCGUCACAACUAAGUCAAGAUAGUUGUACAUUACUCAUGGACUCACUGUCGUAGUCUCAUUAAUUGUCACUGUACCAGAUUAUUGCUCUAUUAGUCAUUUCGACCUGCUCUAAACUGCGAGAGGACUCAUUUUU
This is a long non-coding RNA of Syngnathoides biaculeatus (alligator pipefish), 1500 nucleotides long. RefSeq lists it as uncharacterized. The record is from RefSeq and is a predicted model, not a curated record. The transcript has 3 exons. Lineage: Eukaryota; Metazoa; Chordata; Actinopteri; Syngnathiformes; Syngnathidae.